This is a long non-coding RNA of Halichondria panicea, 5536 nucleotides long. RefSeq lists it as uncharacterized. The record is from RefSeq and is a predicted model, not a curated record. The transcript has 3 exons. NCBI's taxonomy places the organism in Eukaryota, Metazoa, Porifera, Demospongiae, Suberitida, Halichondriidae.
UCGUGUACUAUCGUGUACAAAGUCAGUUCCCGUUUUAUCAUUAUUUGGAAUGGCUCUUAGCUGAAGCUUCUGUCUUCUCUGAAGCUUAGAAAACAUUAUUCUGAAGACUGAACAACAAGGGAAGAGGUAUAAAGCUUUGUCAAGCUUAUUAAGGUAAUUCCUACUUUUUAUCGCAGCCUUCACUGCUAGGGUCCUUUGCUCAUGGGCGUUUCUAGAGAUUGAGGCAGGGGGUGCUCAAGAGCAGUGGCGGAUCUAGAAUUCUUGAAAGAGGGGUUCCAGGGCUCUGAGCGGGUCAAGGACUGUUAAAAAAAAAGGUCGUCACUUCUUCGAAACGGUGAGCAUGCGCAUUAACACACAGAAUUUAAAAAGGUCAUCACUUUUCAUAAGCGUCUGCAUGCACUACGCUGGAGAGUUUUUAGCCUUCAUAGUCACUGAAACUGCACAGACAAAGUUUCGUAUGACUAACAAGGACUAAAGGUAAGUGAGAAGUGCAUGUGAAAGCUAGGACAAUUUGCUAACUUUCUUACUAGCUUUCAAUUGAACCCAAAGAACCCCCUCUAGAUCCGCCACUGAAGAGCACAGAAAAAAAUGAGGCCGCGCGCGCAAUUUUACGCCCCCACAUUUAUUGCGGCACGUUUUUUACAUGCAUAGCGUGAUUAUUAUUAUUAUUUUUUCAAAAUAAACAAUGUGAAAUUGACAAAAGGGACAAAACAAAAAGAAAGGUAAAGGGUACAAACAUAAAAUAGAAGGGUACAUACAAAGGUUCAGUUUAUUUGUGGAGGUGGACCUCCGACAUCACCAGGUCGAUAGCCCCAACUCUGAAGGGGUGUCCACAUGACAAUCUGGACCCUCUAAUAGCUUGAAUGGAUGAUCUUAGGAGGGAAAAGGUUAGUCGGCAACGGAGCCAGGAUAGUGUGCUGCCGUAUGAUUGGUCCCAUUUGGAUGAUAGCAUGGAGGCAAGUUUCUUGUAGAAGGUUGUUGCUUCACAUGCUAGGCCUCACGUUGCAGAGAGUACUAGAGGGGAGAAGAAUGCCUGUUCAAUGUCUAGAAUUCUUUGUUUGUAGGCCUUUUUUUUAAUUAAUUCAUGUUUGCGAUAGACUGUGUGUGGGUCGGCGUGUCUGUUGGAUGCAGCGUGUGGGUUAAAUACCUAACAUCAAAAAAGGUUCUUUCAAAGGAGCCUCCCAUACUCCAUUGGCUGCAAAGUCUAGGCGUGCACCCGGUUGUGUGUUGGCACUUGGCAUUUGCUAAAUAAUAUGUACAAACAAAAUCCACCCUCUUCAGUUGUUGCACUAGAGGGCAGAAUGGUUUGUUAUCCUUCAUUAACCUCGAGACAGAACCACAAAAUUAAUAGAUUCUAGGUAAGGUUGUUUUUUAACCGCUGCUAUUUUCGGCGGCUAUUUUCUAAAAUAGCCACCUUGCUAUUCCGACAAAGUUGAACUCCCCGGCAAGGGUGGCCGAUUAACGAGAGUCUACUGUAUAUAUAUAUGUAUUCUCAGGAACUACUAAGUGUACUGUAUCUCCCUUCAGUCAACAUAUUUGACCACACAAUAAUAGGGGUUUUGGUAAAGAUCAUUAAGUUAUAUACAUCAAUGUAUAUCUAUAUAUAGCCAGCCAAGUGUUAUUAGCAUGUAGCAUGCAUUGGGUGUAUACGUGAGGGCUUAUCCUAAAGAUAACUAUCAAUUGAAAUUAAUGAGGAGGAUUAAAUCUAUGCUACAUUUAUAGUUGUUAAUAUGUCAGCCUAAAGUUCAAUACUGUCAGUGAAUAUACUACUUGGUGGGCGCGGUACCCACUCUUAGUUCAGAUAUGCUGGAGGGGCUUCUCCGCCAGCCAAGUACUGAGCAGGGUACAGGGCAGGGGGCUGUGGUCCAGAGGGGUAGGAUUCAGUGUGAGGGUACGGGUACGAGGGAUCAGCAUAUUGUCUAGUUGGGUAGGGGGCAACUGGUUGAGGUGCAUACAUAUCUUGAGGGGGGGGCCUGAUUCAUGUAUUAAUUGGAGAUUUUGGUCCAUGGAUUGCAUGGGAUAGGCUGUAUUUUGUAUAUUUGCAGCUUUCGGCGUAGCAUUAUUGACUACAGGAGUCCUGGGUGGAAGGUGAGCCAGGCGAUGUCUUCUUCUUAUGCAAAUACAGAACAAGAUGAUAAUCACAAUUAUGAUGAUAAUGACGACGAUAGGAACAGUUACACCAAUGCUGAUGAUUGGUAUGAUGUUGGAUGACGAGAGAGUAGGUACUGUAAUACAAUUGUAAAUGUCAGGUAAUUAGGUGUCACUAACAUGCAUGUAUCAUUUGUAUUUCAGGUAAAUACAUAGCUAUAUAUGUCAUUGCAGUAAUAUGCCAAUCGCCGAGCUAUGUAAUAUGUCUUGGCCAACAUUAAUACUUGAUACUAUAUAUAGCAUAGAUUGGCAACUCUAACCUGUAGAACUGCACAUUAAGGCCACAUCUUGUGUGUGGGUGCAAUCUUCAACUCCGAUAGUGUUAGCAGGACAAUUAAUGAGUCUGCUCUCAGUUCCUGAGCAACGAAGCUCGUCCAACCAUGUUGGAGAGUCCGAUAAGAUUUCAUUGAAACUAUAUAUACAUGUGCAUGCAUGCAUGCAUGCAACAAAGUAACUUUUCAAGAUGGAUGAUUCGAUGGCGAGUCAUGAAUGGCUAUUAUAAGUUAAUGAGACUACUCAGUGAUGAGCUUACACACUCACCCUAGUGUUCCAACUGUUCCGUAUCGAGUAUAGGUUGAGAACCCUAUAGUUGACGACAAGCCACCCUUGCAUCAUUUAUACCGAAUCUGUCAUCACACACUGCCCCCCAUUGUCCAUUGUAAUAUACCUCCAGUCUGCCAGAGGAGCCUCCUGUUUGGCCUGAGCUGCCUACCAGCCUCAGGUCUCCAUCUGAGGGGAAAAAAAACAGCGAAGAAUACAAAUUAAGGACUGCAUGGUUUUGUAACGUCAAGCAUUCAGAUGCGUAAAAGGACUGUAGUAAUGUCACACUAUAUUCGUGUAUAUAAUUACUUGCAGUACAGAUCAAGGCCACGUCUUGUGUGUGGGUGCAAUCUUCAACUCCAAUAGUGUUAGCUGGACAAUUAACGAGUCUGCUCUUAGUUCCUAAACAAAGAAGCUCGUCCAGCCAUGUUGGAGAGUCUGAUGAAAUUUCAUUGAAACUGUACAAUAAAGUAAAUCUUCAAGAUUUAUAAUUUGAUGCAAGUUGUGAAAUAUGCAUGGUUAACAUUGUUGAUCAUGCACUCAAUGAUCAUCUUAUAAAUUAUCUCACCCUAGCGUUCCAACUGUUCCAUAUCGAGUGUAGGUUAAGAACCCUAGUUGACGACAAGCCACUCUUGCAUCAUUUGGACUGAAGCGAUCGUCACACACUGCCCCCCAUUGUUCAUUAUUAUAGACCUCCAGUCUGCCAGAAGAGCCUCCUGUUUGGCCUGAGUUGCCUACCAGCCUCAGGUCUCCAUCUGAAGGGUAUACAGAGACGUUAAUACCUCAGGCUGGCUAUAAUUAUCAUUCAAAGUAGUUUUAUAUGUGUUUGAUGAAGCUCGACUUGUUAUGAUACUGAAUAUCAGCAGGAAAACUAUGAAUCCUUUAAAAUAAAAAUAUAUAUGAGAAUAUAAUUAUAGUCCCUACAGAAAUGAUAUCAGUAAAAAAUAGUGAGUUUCUAAAUUGUCUUUUUAAUGUGCGUGCAUGGAUAUCUCAUGCAGAUAUUGGUUUGAACUAUAGCCCUGUUUACACCACAUCUAAUCUGGGUCGAAUCCGGAUUUAAUCGGGUCAGAUUUUUCUGAGUAGUGAGCAUAUGUACAUAUUCGUGGGUGUUUCUAGAGUAAGCCCACAGCUUCUAAUGAAAUUAGUGGUCAUUUUACUACCUCAGAACUAGAGCACUAAAGUGCAAACCCUCGGCCGGCUGGUGACAUGAUUAAGAAACCAUAUAUAAAAACAGAUGCUGAGUUUUAGUGGUACAUAUGCACUGUGGAUCACAGCAAAGAAGCUUAGAGUCUCAGAGAAGUAUGGCUCCUGUAGUAGCUAGGACCUAGCAGUCUGCUACAGAGACAGCAACACAAUUCUAGCUUUCUAUUUUAGCGACCCCUUUCCAUUGUUUCUGGUACGGGAUCACUUCAGCUGUAAAUAUGUAGGGUGCCUCUAAUAAAGGCCGUGUGUAGUUAGCUAGUUGCCAACGUGUAAAUUCAAGAUUUUUAGCUUUUGCUCGCUUUUAUUCGACAACGAAGCUUUAACAUCAAAUCUGCCAAAUUUAAAACUACUACCUUGUCCAUGGCAUAAACACAGUGCUAUCGCAUCCAGGUGAGUAGACUCAGAAUACACAGACAGACAGACAGACAGACAGACAGACUGACUAAUAUAACCCGUGGCGCCGCGGCGCGCCUCGGGUUAAUAAGCCCUCUGCGCUUACUCACAUCUAAAUUAAGGAUAAGGGCCGUUUACACGAACGCGGUUAGGUUUAAUCCGGAUUCCAACCCAAAUUAAAGGUCUGAUGUAAACGGGGCUUAUGCCCUUGGGUACAAAUCCAAUGCACCCUAUUAUAGUAUAGUAUAUGCAUGGUACAACUAUUACAUUCGUGUACAUAACAUAACACACACACACACACACCAUCACCCCACAUACACCGCCCCUAUGCAUAUACACAUGCAUUGGAACUGUACAUAUAUUACUAUACUGCAUGCACCUCACUAUAUUCAUAUAAUCAUCCUUACUUGCAGUACAGACCAAGACCACAUCUUGGGUGUGGGUACAAUCUUCAACUCCGAUAGUGUUAGCGGGACAAUCCAUAAGUAUUCUCUCAGUUCCUAAGCAAUGAAGCUCAUUCAGCCAUGUCCGGGUGGAAUUUGAAGGCUGGGAGAAACUGUAUAUAGUGUAGAAAAGGAUUAUCUUAAUUGUACUAUAAAUAUAAUUAUGGUUGGUGAAGAUUGGAAGAACAGUAAGAGGAACUGGAUCCACUAAAAUUAGUCAUAAAUGUACAUGCACUCACCCUAAUGUUUCUACUCUUCCAUACUUGGUAUAGUCUGUGUACCCUAGCUGACGACAAGCCACUCUUGCAUCAUUUGGACCAAAGCUGUCAUCACACACUGUCUCCCACUGAUCAAUAUUAAAGAACUCCAGUCUACCAGAGGAGGCUACCCAAGUGGUAGCAGGAUUCACUAGUCUCAAAACUCCAUCUAAAUUUGUAAGAUGCAUGAAGUAUGUAACUAUUGAAAGUGUAUAACAUCACUCACUUAUUGCACACACUAAUGCCACAUCAUCAGAACGGUCACAAUUAUGAACUCCGGUAGGAUUUUGUGGGCAUUCAUCCAGUCUGCUUUCAGAACCAUUGCAGCGAAGGUUGUCCAACCAUGUUGGAGUGGAUUCUGACGCUGCUAGGUCACCAGAACUAUUAUAUUAGUAAAGGAAUUGUAAUCGAAACCAAGCUGACGACAAGCAACAAGUGCACCAGCUGGACCAAAUCCAUCCUGACACACUGUCCCCCAUUGUCCACUAUAGUAGACCUCCAGUCUACCAACUCCUCUGCCUCCUGUUAAACCGGACGUAUCUAUCAGCCUCA